This 2789-nucleotide ribosomal RNA is filed under the name Escherichia coli. Its description in RNAcentral is "bacterial LSU rRNA". It matches the Rfam family "Bacterial large subunit ribosomal RNA". Lineage: Bacteria; Pseudomonadati; Pseudomonadota; Gammaproteobacteria; Enterobacterales; Enterobacteriaceae. The record is from RNAcentral.
AGCGUACACGGUGGAUGCCCUGGCAGUCAGAGGCGAUGAAGGACGUGCUAAUCUGCGAUAAGCGUCGGUAAGGUGAUAUGAACCGUUAUAACCGGCGAUUUCCGAAUGGGGAAACCCAGUGUGAUUCGUCACACUAUCAUUAACUGAAUCCAUAGGUUAAUGAGGCGAACCGGGGGAACUGAAACAUCUAAGUACCCCGAGGAAAAGAAAUCAACCGAGAUUCCCCCAGUAGCGGCGAGCGAACGGGGAGCAGCCCAGAGCCUGAAUCAGUGUGUGUGUUAGUGGAAGCGUCUGGAAAGGCGUGCGAUACAGGGUGACAGCCCCGUACACAAAAAUGCACAUGCUGUGAGCUCGAUGAGUAGGGCGGGACACGUGGUAUCCUGUCUGAAUAUGGGGGGACCAUCCUCCAAGGCUAAAUACUCCUGACUGACCGAUAGUGAACCAGUACCGUGAGGGAAAGGCGAAAAGAACCCCGGCGAGGGGAGUGAAAAAGAACCUGAAACCGUGUACGUACAAGCAGUGGGAGCACAGAGCAAUCUGUGUGACUGCGUACCUUUUGUAUAAUGGGUCAGCGACUUAUAUUCUGUAGCAAGGUUAACCGAAUAGGGGAGCCGAAGGGAAACCGAGUCUUAACUGGGCGUUAAGUUGCAGGGUAUAGACCCGAAACCCGGUGAUCUAGCCAUGGGCAGGUUGAAGGUUGGGUAACACUAACUGGAGGACCGAACCGACUAAUGUUGAAAAAUUAGCGGAUGACUUGUGGCUGGGGGUGAAAGGCCAAUCAAACCGGGAGAUAGCUGGUUCUCCCCGAAAGCUAUUUAGGUAGCGCCUCGUGAAUUCAUCUCCGGGGGUAGAGCACUGUUUCGGCAAGGGGGUCAUCCCGACUUACCAACCCGAUGCAAACUGCGAAUACCGGAGAAUGUUAUCACGGGAGACACACGGCGGGUGCUAACGUCCGUCGUGAAGAGGGAAACAACCCAGACCGCCAGCUAAGGUCCCAAAGUCAUGGUUAAGUGGGAAACGAUGUGGGAAGGCCCAGACAGCCAGGAUGUUGGCUUAGAAGCAGCCAUCAUUUAAAGAAAGCGUAAUAGCUCACUGGUCGAGUCGGCCUGCGCGGAAGAUGUAACGGGGCUAAACCAUGCACCGAAGCUGCGGCAGCGACGCUUAUGCGUUGUUGGGUAGGGGAGCGUUCUGUAAGCCUGCGAAGGUGUGCUGUGAGGCAUGCUGGAGGUAUCAGAAGUGCGAAUGCUGACAUAAGUAACGAUAAAGCGGGUGAAAAGCCCGCUCGCCGGAAGACCAAGGGUUCCUGUCCAACGUUAAUCGGGGCAGGGUGAGUCGACCCCUAAGGCGAGGCCGAAAGGCGUAGUCGAUGGGAAACAGGUUAAUAUUCCUGUACUUGGUGUUACUGCGAAGGGGGGACGGAGAAGGCUAUGUUGGCCGGGCGACGGUUGUCCCGGUUUAAGCGUGUAGGCUGGUUUUCCAGGCAAAUCCGGAAAAUCAAGGCUGAGGCGUGAUGACGAGGCACUACGGUGCUGAAGCAACAAAUGCCCUGCUUCCAGGAAAAGCCUCUAAGCAUCAGGUAACAUCAAAUCGUACCCCAAACCGACACAGGUGGUCAGGUAGAGAAUACCAAGGCGCUUGAGAGAACUCGGGUGAAGGAACUAGGCAAAAUGGUGCCGUAACUUCGGGAGAAGGCACGCUGAUAUGUAGGUGAAGUCCCUCGCGGAUGGAGCUGAAAUCAGUCGAAGAUACCAGCUGGCUGCAACUGUUUAUUAAAAACACAGCACUGUGCAAACACGAAAGUGGACGUAUACGGUGUGACGCCUGCCCGGUGCCGGAAGGUUAAUUGAUGGGGUCAGCGCAAGCGAAGCUCUUGAUCGAAGCCCCGGUAAACGGCGGCCGUAACUAUAACGGUCCUAAGGUAGCGAAAUUCCUUGUCGGGUAAGUUCCGACCUGCACGAAUGGCGUAAUGAUGGCCAGGCUGUCUCCACCCGAGACUCAGUGAAAUUGAACUCGCUGUGAAGAUGCAGUGUACCCGCGGCAAGACGGAAAGACCCCGUGAACCUUUACUAUAGCUUGACACUGAACAUUGAGCCUUGAUGUGUAGGAUAGGUGGGAGGCUUUGAAGUGUGGACGCCAGUCUGCAUGGAGCCGACCUUGAAAUACCACCCUUUAAUGUUUGAUGUUCUAACGUUGACCCGUAAUCCGGGUUGCGGACAGUGUCUGGUGGGUAGUUUGACUGGGGCGGUCUCCUCCUAAAGAGUAACGGAGGAGCACGAAGGUUGGCUAAUCCUGGUCGGACAUCAGGAGGUUAGUGCAAUGGCAUAAGCCAGCUUGACUGCGAGCGUGACGGCGCGAGCAGGUGCGAAAGCAGGUCAUAGUGAUCCGGUGGUUCUGAAUGGAAGGGCCAUCGCUCAACGGAUAAAAGGUACUCCGGGGAUAACAGGCUGAUACCGCCCAAGAGUUCAUAUCGACGGCGGUGUUUGGCACCUCGAUGUCGGCUCAUCACAUCCUGGGGCUGAAGUAGGUCCCAAGGGUAUGGCUGUUCGCCAUUUAAAGUGGUACGCGAGCUGGGUUUAGAACGUCGUGAGACAGUUCGGUCCCUAUCUGCCGUGGGCGCUGGAGAACUGAGGGGGGCUGCUCCUAGUACGAGAGGACCGGAGUGGACGCAUCACUGGUGUUCGGGUUGUCAUGCCAAUGGCACUGCCCGGUAGCUAAAUGCGGAAGAGAUAAGUGCUGAAAGCAUCUAAGCACGAAACUUGCCCCGAGAUGAGUUCUCCCUGACUCCUUGA